RNAcentral lists this ribosomal RNA (424 nucleotides) under Verrucomicrobiota bacterium. RNAcentral describes it as "Verrucomicrobia bacterium partial 16S ribosomal RNA". It matches the Rfam family "Bacterial small subunit ribosomal RNA", at positions 355 to 776 of the family's 1533-position model. The record is from RNAcentral. Lineage: Bacteria; Pseudomonadati; Verrucomicrobiota.
UGAGGAAUAUUGGUCAAUGGGCGAGAGCCUGAACCAGCCAAGUAGCGUGCAGGAUGACGGCCCUAUGGGUUGUAAACUGCUUUUAUGUGGGGAUAAAGUGCGUGACGUGUCAUGCAUUGCAGGUACCACAUGAAUAAGGACCGGCUAAUUCCGUGCCAGCAGCCGCGGUAAUACGGAAGGUCCGGGCGUUAUCCGGAUUUAUUGGGUUUAAAGGGAGCGUAGGCUGUCUAUUAAGCGUGUUGUGAAAUAUACCGGCUCAACCGGUGGCUGGCAGCGCGAACUGGUCGACUUGAGUAUGCAGGAAGUAGGCGGAAUUCAUGGUGUAGCGGUGAAAUGCUUAGAUAUCAUGACGAACUCCGAUUGCGCAGGCAGCUUACUGUAGCAUAACUGACGCUGAUGCUCGAAAGUGCGGGUAUCAAACAGG